This 1992-nucleotide ribosomal RNA is filed under the name anaerobic digester metagenome. RNAcentral's name for it is "bacterial LSU rRNA". It matches the Rfam family "Bacterial large subunit ribosomal RNA", at positions 3 to 1988 of the family's 2925-position model. The record is from RNAcentral.
UCAAGCUAAUAAGGGCAUAGGGUGAAUGCCUAGGCACCAGUAGCCGACGAAGGACGGGAUAAGCACCGAUAUGCCUCGGGGAGUCGCAAAUAGGCGUUGAUCCGGGGAUUUCCGAAUGGGGAAACCCACUUGAGAGAACCUCAAGUAUUCCUUGCUGAACACAUAGGCAAGGAAAGGAACACCAGGGGAACUGAAACAUCUAAGUAUCCUGAGGAAAAGAAAGAAAACUCGAUUCCCUCAGUAGCGGCGAGCGAAGGGGGAAGAGCCCAAACCGAGUACUAGUACUCGGGGUUGUGGACACAACAUAAAGGAUGAAUUUAAGUAGUCGAAGGGCCUGGAAAGGUCCACCACAGAAGGUGACAGUCCUGUAGGCGAAACUUAAAAGACUCCUAGUUGUGCUCCAGAGUACCACGGGGCACGUGAAAUCCUGUGGGAAGCAGGGAGGACCACCUCCCAAGGCUAAAUACUAACUGGUGACCGAUAGAGAACAAGUACCGUGAGGGAAAGGUGAAAAGAACCCCGGGAGGGGAGUGAAAUAGAACCUGAAACCCUAUGCCUACAAGCAGUGGAAGCUCUAUUAAAAAGAGUAACCGCGUACUUUUUGUAGAACGGGCCAGCGAGUUAUGGUAUACAGCAAGGUUAAAUACUUAAGGUAUGAAGCCGUAGGGAAACCGAGUCUUAACAGGGCGAUAAGUUGUAUGCCAUAGACCCGAAACCGGGUGACCUACCCAUGGGCAGAGUGAAGUUGAAGUAAAAUUCAAUGGAGGCUCGAACCCAUUAGCGUUUAAAAGCUAUGGGAUGACCUGUGGGUAGGGGUGAAAAGCCAAUCGAACUCGGAGAUAGCUGGUUCUCCUCGAAAUAGCUUUAGGGCUAGCCUCGAGCAAGUGAACAGGAGGUAGAGCACUGACUGGUCAAGGGGCACAUAGUGCUACCAAAACCUAUCAAACUCCGAAUGCCGUCCUCAUGAUGCUCGGGAGUCAGACUACGUGGGAUAAGCUUCGUAGUCAAAAGGGAAAGAGCCCAGACCACCAGCUAAGGUCCCUAAAUCCAAAUUAAGUGGCAAAGGAUGUAAGGUUACACAGACAACCAGGAUGUUGGCUUAGAAGCAGCCAUACAUUUAAAGAGUGCGUAAUAGCUCACUGGUCGAGUGACCUUGCGCCAAAGAUUUCCGGGGCUUAAAUUUGGUACCGAAGCUGUGGAACGCGUAAGCGUUGGUAGAGGAGCGUUCUGUAUGGGCAGAAGCCAUACCGUAAGGAGUGGUGGACUAUACAGAAGCGAGAAUGCUGGCAUAAGUAGCGAGAGGAGGGUGAGAAUCCCUCCCGUCGAAAGCCUAAGGAUUCCUGAGGAAGGCUCGUCCCCUCAGGGUUAGUCGGGACCUAAGCUGAGGCCGAAAGGCGUAGGCGAUGGACAACAGGUUGAGAUUCCUGUACUACCUAAAGGCGUUUGAGAGAAGGGGAGACGCAGGAGGAUAGGCUGAGCGCACCGUUGGUAGAGUGCGUCUAAGCAAGUAGGGAGUUAAGACAGGAAAAACCGUCUUAACAAUCCUGAGAUGCGAAUGGGAGUGAAAAACAAGUAGCGAAGCAGCCGACUCCACACUGCCAAGAAAAGCCUCUAUCGAGCCUAAAGGUACCCGUACCGCAAACCGACACAGGUAGGCGAGGAGAGAAUCCUAAGACGCGCGGAAGAACCUUUGUUAAGGAACUCGGCAAAAUAGCCCCGUAACUUCGGGAGAAGGGGUGCCAGCUGAGGUUAAACUUAGACAGUGUAAGCCAAAGCUGGCCGCAGUGAAUAGGCCCAAGCGACUGUUUACCAAAAACAUAAGUCUCUGCUAAAUCGAAAGAUGAAGUAUAGGGGCUGACACCUGCCCGGUGCUGGAAGGUUAAGGGGAAGAGUUAGCGUAAAGCGAAGCUUGGAACUUAAGCCCCAGUAAACGGCGGCCGUAACUAUAACGGUCCUAAGGUAGCGAAAUUCCUUGUCGGGUAAGUUCCGACC